This 301-nucleotide ribosomal RNA is filed under the name uncultured bacterium. RNAcentral describes it as "partial 16S ribosomal RNA". It matches the Rfam family "Bacterial small subunit ribosomal RNA", at positions 509 to 807 of the family's 1533-position model. The record is from RNAcentral.
CAGUCGCCACGGUAAUACGGAGGGGGCUAGCGUUGUUCGGAAUUACUGGGCGUAAAGCGCACGUAGGCGGCUUUGUAAGUCAGAGGUGAAAGCCCGGGGCUCAACCCCGGAAUUGCCUUUGAGACUGCAUCGCUUGAAUCCAGGAGAGGUGAGUGGAAUUCCGAGUGUAGAGGUGAAAUUCGUAGAUAUUCGGAAGAACACCAGUGGCGAAGGCGGCUCACUGGACUGGUAUUGACGCUGAGGUGCGAAAGCGUGGGGAGCAAACAGGAUUAGAUACCCCUGUAGUCCCUGUCUCUUAUAC